UACGUAGGCAGCGAGCGUUUGUUCGGAGUUACUGGGCGUAAAGCGUGCGUAGGCGGUGUCUUAAGUUUGUUGUGAAAUCUCCCGGCUUAACCGGGAGGGUGCGGCGAAUACUGGAGAUGCUGGAGUGCCGGAGAGGAAGCGGAAUUCCUGGUGUAGCGGUGAAAAUGCGUAGAUAUCAGGAGGAACACCAUGGCGAAGGCAGCUCGCUGGGGACGACUGACGCUGAAGACGCGAAAAGCGUGGGGGGAGCAAAACAGGG
RNAcentral lists this ribosomal RNA (259 nucleotides) under uncultured bacterium. Its description in RNAcentral is "partial 16S ribosomal RNA". It matches the Rfam family "Bacterial small subunit ribosomal RNA", at positions 524 to 777 of the family's 1533-position model. The record is from RNAcentral.